Long non-coding RNA from Clupea harengus (Atlantic herring), 1026 nucleotides. Lineage: Eukaryota; Metazoa; Chordata; Actinopteri; Clupeiformes; Clupeidae. The record is from Ensembl.
GCUGUGGAGAGCGUCAGCAGCGGGCCUCGCACCACUUUGGUGAAUGUAUUGAGGCGUUUUAAAGCCAGCUUCUGUUUAGGAGUGUUUGUUUUUUGUGUGUUGCUGGGCUGGUGAUUCUUGUGAUUGUAUCUUUCGCUACCCUGCCCAUGUUCAAUAUAAGCCAUUAUUAUCACAGGUGCCACAACUUCCCGGAGAGCAGUAUGCUGGUAUGUAUUUGAGUGUGUGUGUGUGUGUGUGUGUGUGUGUGUGUGUGUGUGUGGCUGUGUAGGCUCUCGCCUAAUUUAGGGCUGAAAUUCCCAAGCCAUGCCAAAACCACUGCCCUGUACUUUUUUGAAUGCACACGUCUGUGUAUCUUUACUGGGGAGAUGGGUGUGACGGAUAGACUGAUGUGUUUGGAAUGCUUUGCCACUGUUCUACAAGGGCUGGAUUAGUGAAAGCAAUACAGCAGUCCAGUGGUGUCUGGUCCCCGUUUGAUGACACGUUCAGACUGUGCUCUCCUACCUGUAUGUCCAGUCCACUGAGCAGCCAGUCUGUUGUCCCCGUUUGAUGACACGUUCAGACUGUGCUCUCCUACCUGUAUGUCCAGUCCACUGAGCAGCCAGUCUGGUCCCCGUUUGAUGACAUCACUUGUGUUUCCAGCGUGAGCGCUCCAGCCUUUCAGCAGGGAUUUCAAUCAAAACACAUUUACCUCUGUAGUCACGACAACAGGCCUCCUGCGCUCCGGCUGGCUGUUCAGGCUAUCUCAUGGAUGUCUGUCUGGUUUCCUCCCAAUGCGGCCCAAACAGGCACCAUUAGGACACUGGGGGGGGUUUCUCCAAUGCGGCCCAAACAGGCACCAUUAGGACACUGGGGGGGUUUCUCCAGGGAGUUGUGAGGAAUGAGGAGCCACAGGGAAGAGAGAGUAAAGGAGAGGAGUGUGGGCUCUAGGUGGGUGGAGAGGAGAGGAGAGGAGAGGAGAGGAGAGGAGAGGAGAGUGGGCUCUAGGUGGGUGGAGUGGAGAGGAGAGGAGAGGAGAGGAGAGGAGAG